RNAcentral lists this ribosomal RNA (1291 nucleotides) under marine metagenome. RNAcentral describes it as "bacterial LSU rRNA". It matches the Rfam family "Archaeal large subunit ribosomal RNA", at positions 1673 to 2987 of the family's 2987-position model. The record is from RNAcentral.
GGAAACGCGAGUGAGGCCUUGGUCCCAUGAAAAGCCGCAGAGAUGACCGUACCAAGAACUGACACAGGUACCCAAGGUGAGCAGCCUAAGGUGUGACGGGCAAAGUAUCGUGAAGGAACUCGGCAAAAUCGCUCUGUAACUUCGGGAGAAGGAGUGCCAGCUCUGAAGAGAGCUGGUCGCAGUGACCAGGGGACUCCGACUGUUUAAUAAAAACAUAGGCGACUGCUAGAUCGAAAGGUUGUGUAUAGUCGCUGAAUCCUGCUCAGUGCAGGUAUCUGAAAUCGGGUUUCAACCUGACGAAGGACCUGUAAACAGCGGGGGUAACUAUGACCCUCUUAAGGUAGCGUAAUACCUUGUCGCUUAAUUGGCGACUUGCAUGAAUGGCCCAACGAGAGUCCCACUGUCUCCACGAUACGUCCGGCGAAAUUGACAUUACUGGCGCACAGUCCAGUACCUUCAACCUGCAAGCGAAGACCCCAUAGAGCUUUACUGCAGCCUGGCGCUGUGCAGUCGCACUCCACGUGCUGAGUAGACGGGAGGCAUCGAUACCCGGGACGCCAGUCCUGGGAGGAGCCACACAUAGAGACACCGUCCUUGGAGUGUAACUGCACUUACUCCUACGGAGGACACCGUUUGGUGGGCAGUUUGGGUGGGGCGCCACGCGCUCGAAAACAUAACAAGCGUGCCCAAAGGUCAGCUUAGGUGGUUCAGUCUCCACCGUUAACCGUAAGGGGAAAAGCUGGCUUGACUUGGAUCGGAUCAAUAACGAUCGAAGAUGCGAAAGCACGGCCUAACGAACCAACGUGCCUCAUUUCUGGGGGCCGUUGAUAACAGAAAAGUUACCUUGGGGAUAAUUGAGUUGUCACCAGCAAGAGCACAUAUCGACCUGGUGGCUUGCUACUUCGAUGUCGUCUCUUCCCAACCUCCCGGUGCAGCAGCUGGGAAGGGUGGGGUUGUUCGCCCAUUAAAGGGGAUCGUGAGAUGGGUUUAGACCGUCGUGAGACAGGUUUGUUGCUUUGCGGUUGAAGCGCGUAAGAUGCCUGAUCGGAAGGGCCCUUUAGUACGAGAGGAACGAGGGCUCGGAGCCACUAGUUUACCAGUUGUCCGGCAGGGCAAUGCUGGGUAGCCACGCUCCAAUGGAUAAGAGCUGAAAGCAUCUAAGCUCGAAGUCAUCCGAAAGACGAGGCAUCUCAGGGGACUCGUAAAAGACGAGUUUGAUAGACAGCGGGUGUAAGCACCGAGGUUCGCCGAGGUGUUCAGCCCAGCUGCACUAACCCCCCGAGCAAUCUGA